GCCGCACAUCGGGCACAGACGCUGCGAUCUCUAUGCACGUCUGUGAGGACCUGCAUAGUCCUCACAGUGUGAUCGGUGCAGGGGGA
Long non-coding RNA from Spea bombifrons (plains spadefoot toad), 86 nucleotides. RefSeq lists it as uncharacterized. The transcript has 3 exons. Lineage: Eukaryota; Metazoa; Chordata; Amphibia; Anura; Pelobatidae. The record is from RefSeq and is a predicted model, not a curated record.